RNAcentral lists this ribosomal RNA (254 nucleotides) under uncultured bacterium. RNAcentral describes it as "partial 16S ribosomal RNA". It matches the Rfam family "Bacterial small subunit ribosomal RNA", at positions 524 to 776 of the family's 1533-position model. The record is from RNAcentral.
UACGGGGGGGGCAAGCGUUGUUCGGAAUUACUGGGCGUAAAGGGCUCGUAGGCGGCCAACUAAGUCAGACGUGAAAUCCCUCGGCUUAACCGGGGAACUGCGUCUGAUACUGGAUGGCUUGAGUUUGGGAGAGGGAUGCGGAAUUCCAGGUGUAGCGGUGAAAUGCGUAGAUAUCUGGAGGAAUACCGGUGGCGAAGGCGGCAUCCUGGACCAACACUGAGCGCUGAGGCGCGAAAGCUAGGGGAGCAAACGGG